CCUUUGCGAGCCGUGGAGUUAAAUCAUACAAUGCGUACGUUGUGAGCGAGCUGGUAAACGAAACCACUUUACUGCUGCUGCUACUAUCACUUUUACGGGAACUUUCAAAAUUAAACAUAUAUGAGUAUGAAUCGGCUCACCAAACUUUAUAUGCACGUCCGUUGCUUUCGUUCAUAGAUCAUGUGCGUAGCUUUGCAACCGUGACCGAUAUUGUAAAAACAGCAAGAAGACAGAUGACACAAGUAAUGUGUCUGCUUUAAUUGUUGUAUGUGCUGUGUUUAGAAUAUCAACCAACCCCGCGCAGUUACAGCUAAAACGUGUUUUUUCUUGCUGCAUGAGGAGCAUUUGCUUCUAAUUGUGGCAGUAACGUUGUGAAUUGUCCUCGGCCCAGAUCGCUGACUGUCUGCAAACUUGUCUAAUUUGUUUCACUUUGCUGCUGUCUUUACAGCUUCUGCUUAUUUCCUCUGCCUGCACCUUAUAUUUGUUGUGUUUAUCGAGACCUGGCCUGUCUCUGCCUCGUUGAAGACAAAUGGACACAAGUACUGGUUGCUGUUGGUUUGUUUGGUUUGCUCAGUCUGAGCGUGCUGCAGAGCACUUGACCACUGCAGCAGUCAAGCAUGCUGUAUAUUGGGCAGUGCCAGGAAUUGCGAGAUCGAGACAGGCUGCCACUAGAAGUUCCUUGGGCCAGAUAAGGGAGGCAGCUUUUGCAUCUGCAACAGAACAUUGGUGGAUGUUGUGUGAAGCACUUUCUCCAUGCUUUUUCACUACCUGAGCAAGGUAACUUUCUUGGUGCUUCAUCACGCAAUUUAUACAAUCAACUUCCAUUAAUUCUACCCUCACGAGACUGACGGGUCGAAUUAAGAUGCAAAAACCUGCUGAAGCACCGUUGAUUCAUUUGGCAAUAUGUGCUUGAGUAACACGCUUCUGAAACGAACGUGCAUCAAAUUUCUAUUUGUCCACAGUAUAAAACUAAAGUAGAAAUGACUUAACCCCAAGCCAAAGUAGAAACCUACGCGUACCUCAUUUUUUAGAAUGCCAGCUGAUUUUCCAAAGCCAGCUUCGCCGUAUUACAGCCGUGAUAUGUGGUAAAGCAUAUGAAUGGUGCAACCACGGUUUUAGUUUCGCAAUCGAUUGCACAGCUAGGCAAUUUUCGUCUCAAUGUCCUUCGAAAACAAAAAGUGUUCGUUAGAAUCAGAUAAGUACCACAAUCGGACAUUGUCAGCUACCGUUACUGCUUGAAAAUCUUUCUCGGGUGGGUCAAAAAUAGGCAUUUCAGAGAGAUGGCAUUUGUUUAACGCAUUCACUGUCCCCUAAGCUCUACUGAGACGUGGGCUGCCACUAAAAGGGGUCAUUAUUGGGGUCUGGUCAAGUUCGCAUUAUCCGGCGAAUGCCAGUUUUAGGAUCGAAAUGAUGAAUGUUUAAUCCCAUAGAAAUGCAUGGGCGUCGGCCAGGUUCGAAUUAACUGAAAAAAUUAAAUUAACCGGAGUCAGAUUAUUGGAAGUUUACUAUACACCCUUUUCUGUUCUCCAAGAAGUUGCCAUUUUAAUAUGUAGUUUUCUUCUGUCAGUGUGGCAAUGGUGCUAAAUUUAGCAUUUGUUUGAAUCAUCCAUUGUUCAAGGACAAGCUACAAAGUAGGGGCAUACUUUGAGACUUGAAACAUUUCCACAUAUAAAGGCAGGGCAUGUUAACAUCUGUACAAUUAACAUAAGUUGGCUGUAUUGUCUGCAUAGCAUGUGGUUGCUUUUUUGGAAUGUGGUCUUUCUGUAAAACAAAGUUGCAUUUGUUUCAAAUAAAUUGCUGAACCAUU
Dermacentor andersoni is the source of this 1807-nucleotide non-coding RNA. Lineage: Eukaryota; Metazoa; Arthropoda; Arachnida; Ixodida; Ixodidae. The record is from RefSeq and is a predicted model, not a curated record.